Molecule: ribosomal RNA, 253 nt
Filed under: uncultured bacterium
Lineage: Bacteria
Description: partial 16S ribosomal RNA
Rfam family: Bacterial small subunit ribosomal RNA
Source: RNAcentral
UACGUAGGUGGCAAGCGUUGUCCGGAUUUACUGGGCGUAAAGGGCUCGUAGGCGGCCAACUAAGUCGGACGUGAAAUCCCUCAGCUUAACUGGGGAACUGCGUCUGAUACUGGAUGGCUUGGAUUUGGGAGAGGGAUGCGGAAUUCCAGGUGUAGCGGUGAAAUGCGUAGAUAUCUGGAGGAACACCGGUGGCGAAGGCGGCAUCCUGGACCAACAUUGACGCUGAGGAGCGAAAGCCAGGGGAGCAAACGGG